This 535-nucleotide ribosomal RNA is filed under the name Zizula hylax. RNAcentral's name for it is "partial 16S ribosomal RNA". The stretch from base 400 to 535 matches the Rfam family "Archaeal large subunit ribosomal RNA", at positions 2542 to 2678 of the family's 2987-position model. The record is from RNAcentral. Lineage: Eukaryota; Metazoa; Arthropoda; Insecta; Lepidoptera; Lycaenidae.
AAACAUGUCUUUUUGAUUUAAUUAAUUUAAAGUCUAAUCUGGCCCACUGAUUUAUUGAUUAAAGGGCUGCAGUAAUUUGACUGUACAAAGGUAGCAUAAUCAUUAGUCUUUUAAUUGGAGACUUGUAUGAAAGAUUUGAUGAAAUAUAAACUGUCUCUAAUUUAUUAUUAUUAGAAUUUAAUUUUUUAGUUAAAAAGCUAAAAUAAAUUUAAAAGACGAGAAGACCCUAUAGAGUUUAAUAGUUUUUAAUUUAAAAUAUUUAUAUAAAAUUUUAAUAUUUAAUUUUAUAAAUUAUUUUGUUGGGGUGAUAAAAAAAUAAAAAAAACUUUUUUUUUAAAUUUUCAUAGAUAAGUGAAUAAUUGAUCCAUUUUAAUGAUUAUAAGAAAAAAUUACCUUAGGGAUAACAGCGUAAUAUUUUUUUUUAGUACAAAUAAAAAAAAAAGUUUGCGACCUCGAUGUUGGAUUAAGAUAAAAUUUAAAUGCAAAAGUUUAAAAUUUUGAUCUGUUCGAUCAUUAAAAUCUUACAUGAUCUGAG